CCAUCUUGGUUGUUCCCAGUUCCCCUCCAUGCUCCUCUCUCAGCACUUAUUUCUCCCCAGAGCAAUCAACAGCAGGAGUCUGUGACUUCACUUCAGCAGUCACAGUACAUUGCUUAAUUUCUUAACUCGAGCUGUUGAGACAGUUACACAUCCUCCUUUGCUGACAGUGCUAUGGGGUUGGCAACUUCCAGCCAAGGAAUGGAAAAGACAUUGGUGGGCUGCAAUAACUGAAAUUGCCACACAGAGUUUCUCUGGAAGUCAUUUGUCAGAGUGGUAAGUGAUUUAAAAGUCCUGGAAAAGUUCAUCCUCUACGACUUAAUAUGACUUUUCCAUCUCUAGCUUGUGGCUCUGAAGAAAGUGCAAAGGGUAUAAACAGUGCUCCCAAAUCCUUUCCAGUUGUCUUUUUUUUUAUUCCCAUUCACAGCAAAUAUUUUGGUAAAAAGACGAGCAGAAACAGAAGGAGAUGAAGCAAUAGCAGAGCUGUGCCUGCAAAAAUCCCAGGCAGCUCUUAGCCCUCCUUCGUCCUGAUGUUGAGCCCCAAAGCUGUGGUGAGGCCAGGAUGGAAGCAGGAGGAAAACGUAUUUUUCACCAUGUGUUUUGACUCUGCUCUGGGGCGUAGAUGACCUGUUGGUAAAAAUGCCUGUGUCCUGUCUCCACAACAGAUAUAUCAGUUGCAAAUUAUCUGCCCAGUUCUGCUAUUGUGAGUCAGGCCCAGUGGGAAUUAAUGGCACCGUAUGAUUGUUAUUGUUGGCAGUUGGCCUCCAAAGCAAGCUGGCUUCCCCACUGCGUUCUGCUGGGCCUCAAAGGCUGAUGUUGGGCAUAUUUCUAUUUGGGGCAGCCCGUUGUUUUGGGAGGAGGUCAGAGGGGUGAGGGGGCAGCCCCUGGACAGGGUAGUGAGCCCCCGGUGAGUGCCCACACUGGGUGGGUAGGCCACAGGGCAGAGCAUGCUUCCCAUUGCCACCACCAUGCCAUGUCAUGGUCCAGCGCCCCAUUACAUGCAGAGAGGGUCAGAAGGGGGGGAAGCAAAGCGAUUUGUAGUCAUGUUACAUUUCCUACUUCAAAACUUUGUUUUUACAACUAUUGGCCUUGCCUGCCCCAGGAGCUCUGGCCUACGCGGCGAACUGUGUUGUUUCAUUUCUGUCAGCAGCGGGUCUUUUCUCUUUGCUCCUGCAGGAAAGCUUUUGUUUCAUGCCUUUCCUCCCCUGCUGCACGCUGUGCUGGCCAGGCAAUGUGCCACGUGCUCAUAAGCCGGCUUUCCACUCCUCUCCCCUCUCAACAGCAGCCUCCCGCUCUGCUCACUGCACAAACACUUGCUUAGUGCUUUGGUCACAAAUGCCGGGGCCAUGUGUGACAAUAGUGCAUGGUGUGAUAAGAGGGUGGACACCUGGAUGAUGGCCAGUCCAAGCAUUAUGGCCCUCGCUCUUAUGCUGUUUGCUCUUGUGACAUAUUCUCCUUUUGAUUCUCAUGCCUGCAUGUUGAUCUAGGAGGGUGGCCAUCUGGGUUCCUGCCUCCACUGCUAGCUGCCACUUGGUCUCCACCUCCAGCUGACAACAAACUGAGACCCAUUUAAUCCUCAGUCCAAACAGGGGCACAGCCCACGAGCUUGUCCUAGGAAAAAGAAACAGCCUUUCAGCCUUCCAGCUCCAGCUAUUCUCCUCAGUCCUCAGUUGGCCUCACACUGGGGUUUGCUGCCAGGGUCCUGAGCUCCCGGGAAGCACUCACUGUAUGUCUGAAGCACAGCAUGGAUGCGAUACAGAUAUCUAUCUGCACUGACUGGAACCAAGCAAGAACUGCAACCUACAAAAGUAUAGCUCUAUCAGUGUGGCUUCCUGCCCAGGCUAAUUAGACCUGCCAAGAAGGGCUAAUUAGCUAGGCUCAGUGCCACACUGAUGUGACUACACUGCUUUCAAGAAGCAGAAAGUAUCAGGUGUAGCUUGCUCUAACAAGGAGAUCCAAG
Phasianus colchicus (ring-necked pheasant) is the source of this 1957-nucleotide long non-coding RNA. RefSeq lists it as uncharacterized. The record is from RefSeq and is a predicted model, not a curated record. Lineage: Eukaryota; Metazoa; Chordata; Aves; Galliformes; Phasianidae.